GGCCCAGAUCGUUUACCGUGAAAAAAUUAGAGUGUUCAAAGCAGGCAGAUUCAAUUUUCUGCCACCGAAUACAUUAGCAUGGGAUAAUGGAAUAGGACCCUGUCCUCCUAUUUUCAGUUGGUUUUGGCAGCGCGAGGACUAGGGUAAUGAUUAAUAGGGAUAGUUGGGGGCAUUAAUAUUUAAUUGUCAGAGGUGAAAUUCUUGGAUUUAUGAAAGAUUAACUUCUGCGAAAGCAUCUGCCAAGGAUGUUUUCAUUAAUCAAGAACGAAAGUUAGGGGAUCGAAGACGAUCAGAUACCGUCGUAGUCUUAACCAUAAACGAUGCCGACCAGCGAUUAGGAGACGUUGAAUACAAAACACCACCAUCGGCGCGGUCGUCCUUGGCGCGUUCGUGUUCACGCACGGGCGCGCGAGGGCGGCUUAGCCCGGUGGCACCGGUGAAUGACUCCCCUAGCAGCUUGUGAGA
RNAcentral lists this ribosomal RNA (465 nucleotides) under Acanthamoeba sp. RNAcentral describes it as "SSU rRNA". It matches the Rfam family "Eukaryotic small subunit ribosomal RNA", at positions 740 to 1095 of the family's 1831-position model. The record is from RNAcentral. RNAcentral also lists the same sequence under 1 other name. Lineage: Eukaryota; Discosea; Longamoebia; Acanthamoebidae.